UACGGGGGGGGCAAGCGUUGUUCGGAUUUACUGGGCGUAAAGGGCGCGUAGGCGGCGCAACAAGUCACUUGUGAAAUCUCCGGGCUUAACUCGGAAAGGUCAAGUGAUACUGUUGUGCUAGAGUGCGGAAGGGGCAACUGGAAUUCUCGGUGUAGCGGUGAAAUGCGUAGAUAUCAUGAGGAAUACCAGAGGCGAAGGCGGCUACCUGGACAAUUGCUGACGCUCAGGCACGAAAGCGUGGGGAGCAAAAGGG
This 253-nucleotide ribosomal RNA is filed under the name uncultured bacterium. RNAcentral describes it as "partial 16S ribosomal RNA". It matches the Rfam family "Bacterial small subunit ribosomal RNA", at positions 524 to 776 of the family's 1533-position model. The record is from RNAcentral.